This 74-nucleotide transfer RNA is filed under the name Pseudobdellovibrionaceae bacterium. Its description in RNAcentral is "tRNA-Cys". It matches the Rfam family "tRNA". From Rfam's summary of the family: Transfer RNA (tRNA) molecules are approximately 80 nucleotides in length. Their secondary structure includes four short double-helical elements and three loops (D, anti-codon, and T loops). Further hydrogen bonds mediate the characteristic L-shaped molecular structure. tRNAs have two regions of fundamental functional importance: the anti-codon, which is responsible for specific mRNA codon recognition, and the 3' end, to which the tRNAs corresponding amino acid is attached (by aminoacyl-tRNA synthetases). tRNAs cope with the degeneracy of the genetic code in two manners: having more than one tRNA (with a specific anti-codon) for a particular amino acid; and 'wobble' base-pairing, i.e. permitting non-standard base-pairing at the 3rd anti-codon position. The record is from RNAcentral. Lineage: Bacteria; Pseudomonadati; Bdellovibrionota; Bdellovibrionia; Bdellovibrionales; Pseudobdellovibrionaceae.
GGUGGCGUGGCCGAGGGGCUAGGCACGGCUCUGCAAAAGCUGUCACGGCGGUUCAAGUCCGUCCGCCACCUCCA